GAUCUAGAGCCACCGCAAGGAAGGUAUGGUCAUCAAAACUACGUCAAUGUUAAUCCGAUCAUCGGUAACUAUUGACGUAGUCGCAACUCGAAAGGGUUGUGGGGCGAAAGCUC
Molecule: small RNA, 113 nt
Filed under: Saccharimonas aalborgensis (SeqCode)
Lineage: Bacteria; Candidatus Saccharimonadota; Candidatus Saccharimonadia; Saccharimonadales (SeqCode); Saccharimonadaceae (SeqCode)
Description: Candidatus Saccharimonas aalborgensis LOOT RNA
Rfam family: LOOT RNA
About the family: Latescibacteria, OD1/Parcubacteria, OP11, TM7. Lineage (Microgenomates, aka OP11)
Source: Rfam by way of RNAcentral